Molecule: long non-coding RNA, 720 nt
Filed under: Salmo salar (Atlantic salmon)
Lineage: Eukaryota; Metazoa; Chordata; Actinopteri; Salmoniformes; Salmonidae
Description: lncRNA (ENSSSAG00000109579.1)
Source: RNAcentral
CGAGCUGAGUUCAUGUUCACUCCUAAAGAGAACGGAUAGGUCCGGUUGGAAUUUUAUUCAAGGUAUAUGAUAAAAACAACCUAAAGAUUGAUUCUAUACAUCGUUUGACAUGUUUCUACAAACUGUAGUAUAACUUUUUUGACUUUUCGUCUGGACUAUGUAAGCACACACGUAGUGGAUUUGGAUAGUGAACAUAACGCGCAAACAAAAUGGAUUAUUUGGAAAUAAAUAUGAACUUUAUCGAACAUUUAUUGUGGAGCUGGGAAUCCUGGGAGUGCCUUCUGAUGAAGCUAAUCAAAGGUUCAAAUUUCAUCAUCUUUUAGAAGACAAAUGCUGUUGCUUGUAGGCAGCGUUUCAAGACUGGUAAAACCACAGAGAUGAGUUGGGGGACUUGUUGACCGGGAUCAUUGAUAGCCAGCAACCCCUGGAAGAUGAUCACCAUAGCUUGGAAGGGAUGAAGGUCAGCCCACUACAUCUGCAGCAGCCAGGAGGGAAGAUUAUGUCACUAACCAGGGCCAGAGGACAAAGACAAGGCUGAGCAUGCAUGAGAAAACUGGCCAUGGAAUUUCAUGAGCGUAGUCUAAUCUAUUUAAAAGAAGAGCAUGAAAUGAAGAGGCAAAUCCUUCAUGUUGAGUAGGCUAUGGCGUGAAGCAGCAGCAGGAGCAGUACCAAUGUUUUUCAAUGUACCGAUGUUCUUCAAGAACCAGCACCAGUUCGGGG